Molecule: ribosomal RNA, 779 nt
Filed under: Polaribacter sp. PB1
Lineage: Bacteria; Pseudomonadati; Bacteroidota; Flavobacteriia; Flavobacteriales; Flavobacteriaceae
Description: bacterial SSU rRNA
Rfam family: Bacterial small subunit ribosomal RNA
Source: RNAcentral
AACAUUGUGCUUGCACAGAUGACGACCGGCGCACGGGUGCGUAACGCGUAUAGAACCUACCUUUUACAGGGGAAUAGCCUUUAGAAAUGAAGAUUAAUGCCCCAUAGUAUUGAGACUUGGCAUCAGGUUUUAAUUAAAGAUUUAUCGGUAAAAGAUGGCUAUGCGUCCUAUUAGUUAGUUGGUAAGGUAACGGCUUACCAAGACAUCGAUAGGUAGGGGUCCUGAGAGGGAGAUCCCCCACACUGGUACUGAGACACGGACCAGACUCCUACGGGAGGCAGCAGUGAGGAAUAUUGGACAAUGGAGGCGACUCUGAUCCAGCCAUGCCGCGUGUAGGAAGAAUGCCCUAUGGGUUGUAAACUACUUUUAUACAGGAAGAAACACUGGUAUGUAUACCAGCUUGACGGUACUGUAAGAAUAAGGACCGGCUAACUCCGUGCCAGCAGCCGCGGUAAUACGGAGGGUCCAAGCGUUAUCCGGAAUCAUUGGGUUUAAAGGGUCCGCAGGCGGUCGAUUAAGUCAGAGGUGAAAUCCCAUAGCUCAACUAUGGAACUGCCUUUGAUACUGGUUGACUUGAGUCAUAUGGAAGUAGAUAGAAUGUGUAGUGUAGCGGUGAAAUGCAUAGAUAUUACACAGAAUACCGAUUGCGAAGGCAGUCUACUACGUAUGUACUGACGCUGAGGGACGAAAGCGUGGGGAGCGAACAGGAUUAGAUACCCUGGUAGUCCACGCCGUAAACGAUGGAUACUAGUUGUUGGGAUUUAUCUCAGUGACUAAGC